AGUGAACGCUGGCGGCGUGCUUAACACAUGCAAGUCGAACGAGAACGGAUUAUAGCUUGCUAUAAUUGUCAGCUAAGUGGCGCACGGGUGAGUAAUGUAUAGGUAAUAUGCCUCUUACUAAGGGAUAACAAAUGGAAACGUUUGCUAAUACCUUAUACUCCUUAUUAACAGAAGUUAAUAAGGGAAAGAUUUAUUGGUAAGAGAUUAGCCUGUAUUGUAUCAGUUAGUUGGUGGGGUAAUGGCUUACCAAGACUAUGACACAUAACUGGUUUGAGAGGAUGAUCAGUCACACUGGAACUGAGACACGGUCCAGACUCCUACGGGAGGCAGCAGUGGGGAAUAUUGCACAGUGGACGAAAGUCUGAUGCAGCAACGCCGCGUGGAGGAUGACACAUUUCGGUGCGUAAACUCCUUUUACAUGAGAAGAUAAUGACGGUAUUAUAUGAAUAAGCACCGGCUAACUCCGUGCCAGCCGCCGCAGUAA
Molecule: ribosomal RNA, 484 nt
Filed under: uncultured bacterium
Lineage: Bacteria
Description: partial 16S ribosomal RNA
Rfam family: Bacterial small subunit ribosomal RNA
Source: RNAcentral